Molecule: non-coding RNA, 145 nt
Organism: Canis lupus familiaris (dog)
Lineage: Eukaryota; Metazoa; Chordata; Mammalia; Carnivora; Canidae
Source: RefSeq, marked provisional
GAGAGUACUGUUUCUGAUUCUUUCAUUUGUGUUGUGGUGAGUUCUUCCUUCUAGUCAUUUUGCUCAGUGCAGAGUGGCUGUAUGAGCAGGCUGAGUUAAGAAUAUCAACCACGACCUAAGUAAAUUUCACCCUAAGUGAUUCUGC